Molecule: unclassified non-coding RNA, 471 nt
Filed under: Hevea brasiliensis (rubber tree)
Lineage: Eukaryota; Viridiplantae; Streptophyta; Magnoliopsida; Malpighiales; Euphorbiaceae
Source: RNAcentral
AAAAAACAUUCGAAUUCAACCUGCAUUUAACUCUUUUAUUAAGUGUAUGAGCUCAUUUUAUAUUUAAGUCAUUUAAUGAUAUACUCAAUGAAUUAUAAUAACUGAAAGAGGAAUUCCACUUCUUCUCUUGAGGUACCGUCUUCUAGUGACCCUUCACUUUUCUUUACUGGUUUUUCACAGCUCUCCUUCAUUUCUCUCUCUUUUCGAGCAGGGAAGGAAUUUUCCCCCUGCCCGGAGAGUGGAUUAUCCCUUCCCGCCUUCGAGCAAGAUUACAAAUAGGCUUUUAUGGGUGUAUUUCGGAUGUAGAUCCAAUGGCACCGAGGAGAGGGUUACUUUGGAUCUACUCAGCUUUGGUUCCCUCCACAGAAUACCCAACGAAUUUAGGAAAUUGAAAAUAAAUUAUUAAAGAGAUUUCAAAUAUGAGCCUUUUAUAUACUAAACAUGUCCAUUAAAUUUAAAAAUUAAAUAAAU